This is a non-coding RNA of Plectropomus leopardus (leopard coralgrouper), 241 nucleotides long. The record is from RefSeq and is a predicted model, not a curated record. Lineage: Eukaryota; Metazoa; Chordata; Actinopteri; Perciformes; Serranidae.
UCAGUUUGCCUGAGGAGACCAAAGAGACUCUGAUUUGACCGUGUAAAAACUUUAUGUUGUCCUCAAAUAAGCAACAAAUUGAUGAAUCGUUGUACCCCUGGAGGCCUGAGCAGAAGUCCGAACCCCAAUCCUUUUCUGAUGAGGGCUGAGGAUCCAGCUAGGGGCACAUGCAGAAGAUGAGGACUGUACUUUUAAAACCUGAUCUUGUGGAACUGGAGGUGGAGCCCCUGAUAGUUCUCUU